This 474-nucleotide ribosomal RNA is filed under the name uncultured bacterium. RNAcentral describes it as "partial 16S ribosomal RNA". It matches the Rfam family "Bacterial small subunit ribosomal RNA", at positions 28 to 523 of the family's 1533-position model. The record is from RNAcentral.
GGUGAACGCUGGCGGCGUGCUUAAGACAUGCAAGUCGAACGCAGUCUUCGGACUGAGUGGCGCACGGGUGAGUAACACGUAACUGAACUACCCCCAAGUCGCGGAUAACUGGCCGAAAGGUCAGCGAAUACGUGACGUGGUGGCCCUUUCUGGGGGGCCAUUAAAGGUUUACUGCUUGGGGAUGGGGUUGCGUUCCAUCAGCGAGUUGGCGGGGGAAAGGCCCACCAAGGCAACGACGGAUAGCCGGCCUGAGAGGGUGGCCGGCCACAGGGGCACUGAGACACGGGUCCCACUCCUACGGGAGGCAGCAGUUAGGAAUCUUCCACAAUGGGCGAAGUCCUGAUGGAGCGACGCCGCGUGAGGGAUGAAGGUUCUCGGAUCGUAAACCUCUGAGUCAGGGACGAAAGACGCGUAAGCGGGAUGACGGUACCUGAGUAAUAGCACCGGCUAACUCCGUGCCAGCAGCCGCCGUAA